Molecule: ribosomal RNA, 253 nt
Filed under: uncultured bacterium
Lineage: Bacteria
Description: partial 16S ribosomal RNA
Rfam family: Bacterial small subunit ribosomal RNA
Source: RNAcentral
UACGUAGGGCGCAAGCGUUGUCCGGAAUUAUUGGGCGUAAAGAGCUCGUAGGCGGUCUGUCGCGUCUGUUGUGAAAACUCGAGGCUCAACCUCGGGCUUGCAGUGGAUACGGGCAGACUAGAGUGCGGUAGGGGAGACUGGAAUUCCUGGUGUAGCGGUGGAAUGCGCAGAUAUCAGGAGGAACACCGGUGGCGAAGGCGGGUCUCUGGGCCGAUACUGACGCUGAGGAGCGAAAGCGUGGGGAGCGAACAGG